RNAcentral lists this ribosomal RNA (43 nucleotides) under Paraeutypella vitis. RNAcentral's name for it is "Eutypella vitis partial 28S ribosomal RNA". The record is from RNAcentral. Lineage: Eukaryota; Fungi; Ascomycota; Sordariomycetes; Xylariales; Diatrypaceae. RNAcentral also lists the same sequence under 1 other name.
GUUUGACCUCGGAUCAGGUAGGAAUACCCGCUGAACUUAAGCA